RNAcentral lists this ribosomal RNA (501 nucleotides) under uncultured Glomus. Its description in RNAcentral is "SSU rRNA". It matches the Rfam family "Eukaryotic small subunit ribosomal RNA", at positions 569 to 1074 of the family's 1831-position model. The record is from RNAcentral. Lineage: Eukaryota; Fungi; Glomeromycota; Glomeromycetes; Glomerales; Glomeraceae.
AGCAGCCGCGGUAAUUCCAGCUCCAAUAGCGUAUAUUAAAGUUGUUGCAGUUAAAAAGCUCGUAGUUGAAUUUCGGGAUCAAUUUAUUGGUCGUGCAAUAGUACGUACUGGUAUUAUUGGUUCCUACCUUCUGAUGAACCAUGAUGUCAUUAAUUUGGUGUUAUGGGGAAUCAGGACUGUUACUUUGAAAAAUUAGAGUGUUUAAAGCAGGCUCACGCUUGAAUACAUUAGCAUGGAAUAAUGAAAUAGGACGUUUGAUUCUAUUUUGUUGGUUUCUAGGAUCGACGUAAUGAUUAAUAGGGAUAGUUGGGGGCAUUAGUAUUCAAUUGUCAGAGGUGAAAUUCUUGGAUUUAUUGAAGACUAACUACUGCGAAAGCAUUUGCCAAGGAUGUUUUCAUUAAUCAAGAACGAAAGUUAGGGGAUCGAAGACGAUCAGAUACCGUCGUAGUCUUAACCAUAAACUAUGCCGACUAGGGAUCGGAUGAUGUUAAUUUUUAAUGA